ACUCAGCUGACAAGUAGCGAGAAGCUGUCUCUCUGCUCUUUUCACUGCUUUCAGGUAAGUUUAGUCCCUAAAGUUACACAAAUAAUACAUACAACUGUUCCUGACACUUUCUUACAUGUUACUGACACGUUUCUGUUGAAUCUUUACUUUACAGGAGUGGUAUAGUGUCUUCAAAAAGACCGUUAGCAUCACAACCGUUAACUAUAGAGGCUAACAAUUAGAGGAGCGUCAGAAUAAAAUACCUAAAACAGGGGAAGUUACAAAAAAAUUUGUAAUGUGAGCUGCUGACAGAGAUACAGGAAACACAGAGCUGGAGCGGAGCAGAUCUCCUGUCGAAGAACAUCUCCAAAGCACCAUGAACCAUCUGACUAGGCAGUUCGUGAAGACGGAUAACCUGGACAGAAGUCAGUUCAAGAUCCAGCCUCCACACUAGACUUCUCACUCACAAGGAUUGCUGUCUACUAGAUAUUAUGUGUACUCUUCAGACUUAGGUUCAUGCAGAUAUUAUUCAGGGACAUGAACACUUGAAUACUGCAAAAAUAGAGAAACUACCUUUAUUUAAGAAUUUUGUGUUAAUUGUGUGAACAUUAAACAAAUAUAUAUUUAUUUUACAGUUUUUUUUGUUUUGUAUUCCAAAGCACCUAAAAGCCAAUUCACACUGCCAUACUCCAACAGGGUGAACACACUGACCAAGCAAAACAAAUAAGCAUGUUUUUAUAGUUUUUGUGAAAGUGUGAACUGACAAUGCUGUAUGUUAGGUGUGAGAUUCAUUCAACUUGGUUUGCUGAUUAAACAUGAUUAAAUAUUUGUUCAGAAUAUUGUCGUUGUUGUGACUAUUCAUCUAGGAGGGGUGUGUAUCAAGUGGCUUGGUUAUGGUUUUGUUGAGGCUGACAUGUGGAACCCAUC
Onychostoma macrolepis is the source of this 906-nucleotide long non-coding RNA. RefSeq lists it as uncharacterized. NCBI's taxonomy places the organism in Eukaryota, Metazoa, Chordata, Actinopteri, Cypriniformes, Cyprinidae. The transcript has 4 exons. The record is from RefSeq and is a predicted model, not a curated record.